AUGAAAACGCAUGGGGCUUCUCCUUCGGAUCUCUUGCGCGACUCCCAGCGGUCGUCUUCGCUCAGUCUGCAAUUUCGGUUUCAACCUUGCUUCUCCUUCGUCAUCAUGCCGUCUCGAUCCUUGCUGCGGAUUCGAACAUCUCCGCCUCACCUCAUCGGUUUCACCGAC
This is a non-coding RNA of Vicia faba (fava bean), 168 nucleotides long. NCBI's taxonomy places the organism in Eukaryota, Viridiplantae, Streptophyta, Magnoliopsida, Fabales, Fabaceae. The record is from the annotation of a GenBank genome assembly.